Molecule: long non-coding RNA, 526 nt
Organism: Wyeomyia smithii (pitcher-plant mosquito)
Lineage: Eukaryota; Metazoa; Arthropoda; Insecta; Diptera; Culicidae
Exons: 3
Source: RefSeq, a predicted model, not a curated record
AGUGGUCACCGGCGUAAAAUUGUGAACAACAUCUGAAGCAAAAUAAUAGUGUCGUAAUAAAUAGUAGUUCAGUAAAUUCCACGAUUGAUCCAAAGGAGACUGUUAGUGGUAAACAGAGCAACUGUGCUCAAAAUAACCUACACACGCAUCGAAUUUGCGUCCAUUCCAGAGAAACUUUUCGUUGCUGAAAAAGCGCUUCUGCAAAGACAUUUAUCCAGCUAUGGCUGAAAAAAUGUUGGUUAAAAGUUCUGCCACUGUUGUGGCCAAUCACCGACGCCCAGGGAGGCGACUCCACACCCAGGACCCUAACUCACGACCCGUUUAUUAACGGACCGGCGCCAACGGCUUUACUUCCUCAUGCGAUGGAAGGCGUGAUCCCAGAGAUUUUUCGCCUCAGAAAAUCUCCCGGUGUCGGCUAGGAUUGAAUCUAGACCAGUUGGGUUGGUUGUGAGUGGAUCACGCCACCUCACAACCAUCGACACCUAUAUCGGCGGUGGGAUUCGAACCCAGGCGUCGAGCGUGGUUG